RNAcentral lists this ribosomal RNA (491 nucleotides) under uncultured bacterium. RNAcentral's name for it is "partial 16S ribosomal RNA". It matches the Rfam family "Bacterial small subunit ribosomal RNA", at positions 29 to 506 of the family's 1533-position model. The record is from RNAcentral.
AGUGAACGCUGGCGGUAGGCCUAACACAUGCAAGUCGAACGGCAGCACAGUAAGAGCUUGCUCUUACGGGUGGCGAGUGGCGGACGGGUGAGGAAUACAUCGGAAUCUACUUUUUCGUGGGGGAUAACGUAGGGAAACUUACGCUAAUACCGCAUACGACCUACGGGUGAAAGCAGGGGAUCUUCGGACCUUGCGCGAUUGAAUGAGCCGAUGUCGGAUUAGCUAGUUGGCGGGGUAAAGGCCCACCAAGGCGACGAUCCGUAGCUGGUCUGAGGGGAUGAUCGGCAACACUGGACCUGAGACACGGUCCAGACUCCUACGGGAGGCAGCAGUGGGGAAUAUUGGACAAUGGGCGCAAGCCUGAUCCAGCCAUACCGCGUGGGUGAAGAAGGCCUUCGGGUGGUAAAGCCCUUUUGUUGGGAAAGAAAAGCAGCAGGUUAAUACCCCGCUGUUCUGACGGUACCCAAAGAAUAAGCACCGGCUAACUUCGU